RNAcentral lists this ribosomal RNA (406 nucleotides) under uncultured bacterium. Its description in RNAcentral is "partial 16S ribosomal RNA". It matches the Rfam family "Bacterial small subunit ribosomal RNA", at positions 30 to 526 of the family's 1533-position model. The record is from RNAcentral.
AUUGAACGCUGGCGGCAGGCCUAACACAUGCAAGUCGAACGAGUGGCGGACGGGUGAGUAAUGUCUGGGGAACUGCCUGAUGGAGGGGGAUAACUACUGGAAACGGUAGCUAAUACCGCAUACUAUCAGAUGAGCCCAUAUGGGAUUAGCUUGUUGGUGGGGUAACGGCUCACCAAGGCGACGAUCCCUAGCUGGUCUGAGAGGAUGACCAGCAACACUGGAACUGAGACACGGACCAGACUCCUACGUGAGGCAGCAGUGGGGAAUAUGGCACAAUGGGCGCAAGCCUGAUGCAGCCAUGCCGCGUGUAUGAAGAAGGCCUUAGGGUUGUAAAGUACUUUCAGCGGGGAGGCGUUACCCGCAGAAGAAGCACCGGCUAACUCCGUGCCAGCAGCCGCGGUAAUAC